UACUUAAAGCCACACUAGAACAAGCAGU
Molecule: small RNA, 28 nt
Filed under: Bombyx mori (domestic silkworm)
Lineage: Eukaryota; Metazoa; Arthropoda; Insecta; Lepidoptera; Bombycidae
Description: ovarian small RNA-21585
Source: RNAcentral